CCCGCUGAACUUAAGCAUAUCAAUAAGCGGAGGAAAAGAAACUAACAAGGAUUCCCUUAGUAACGGCGAGUGAAGCGGGAAAAGCUCAAAUUUAAAAUCUGUCUGGUUUCCAGACCGAGUUGUAGUUGAUAGAGACGUUUUCGGUGGGCUCCUGGGUAUAAGUCCUUUGGAACAGGGCAUCAUAGAGGGUGAGAAUCCCGUCUUUGACUCAGAGUUGCCUACUAUGUGAUACGUCUUCUAAGAGUCGGAUUGUUUGGGAAUGCAGUCCUAAAUGGGUGGUAAAUUUCAUCUAAAGCUAAAUAUUGGCGAGAGACCGAUAGCGAACAAGUACCGUGAGGGAAAGAUGAAAAGAACUUUGAAAAUAGAGUUAAACAGUACGUGAAAUUGUUGAAAGGGAAACGUUUGAAAUCAGUCAUGCGCACAAGUAAUCAGCUAAACUUUUGUUUAGUGCACUUGCUUGUGCGCAGGUCAGCGUCAAUUUUGAUUGCAGGAUAAAAAUCCUGGGAAUGUGGCUCUUCGGAGUGUUAUAGCCCAGGUUGAAUACUGUAGUUGGGAUUGAGGUCUGCAGCCAAUGCUUUUGCUGGCUUACCUGGUGCUGUGUUUGCGUUGUAAUUAGGACAGCUUGCUGACCUUGUUAUAAACAAAUACAAUCGUUAGGGAUGCACAAAUUGGCUUAGGUCGCUGACGUAAUGGUUUUAAAUGACCCGUCUUGAAACACGG
This 720-nucleotide ribosomal RNA is filed under the name uncultured fungus. RNAcentral's name for it is "eukaryotic LSU rRNA". It matches the Rfam family "Eukaryotic large subunit ribosomal RNA", at positions 24 to 664 of the family's 3401-position model. The record is from RNAcentral. Lineage: Eukaryota; Fungi.